This 497-nucleotide ribosomal RNA is filed under the name uncultured bacterium. Its description in RNAcentral is "partial 16S ribosomal RNA". It matches the Rfam family "Bacterial small subunit ribosomal RNA", at positions 28 to 507 of the family's 1533-position model. The record is from RNAcentral.
GAUGAACGCUGGCGGCGUGCCUAAUACAUGCAAGUCGAGCGAACAGACGAGGAGCUUGCUCCUCUGACGUUAGCGGCGGACGGGUGAGUAACACGUGGAUAACCUACCUAUAAGACUGGGAUAACUUCGUGAAACCGGAGCUAAUACCGGAUAAUAUAUUUAACCGCAUGGUUCAAUAGUGAAAGACGGUUUUGCUGUCUCUUAUAGAUGGAUCCGCGCCGCAUUAGCUAGUUGGUAAGGUAACGGCUUACCAAGGCAACGAUGCGUAACCGACCUGAUAAGGUGAUCGGCCACACUGGAGCUGAGACACGGUCCAGACUCCUACGGGAGGCAGCAGUAGGGAAUCUUCCGCAAUGGGCGAAAGCCUGACGGAGCAACGCCGCGUGAGUGAUGAAGGUCUUCGGAUAGUUAAACUCUGUUAUUAGGGAAGAACAAAUGUGUAAGUAACUAUGCACGUCUUGACGGUACCUAAUCAGAAAGCCACGGCUAACUACGUG